UCUGCCUUCUUGGCGUUGCGUUUCUACAUUGAAUAUGAGAGAGUUAAAAAAACAUUAACAACACUCCUCAAAACAAAGAAAUUGGUCAAGCAAAACCUCAUAGGAUAAAUGCUAAAGCAUUCUCCAUGAAACAAGCAUAUAGCCUAAAAUGAAAGUAACAGAAACAAUAGAAAAGAAAAAGCAUUCUCCACAAGUACAAUAACUAGAAAGAUAUUAACUAUUAACCAUGAUUCUCCACUAGAAUCAUGAAUUAAAAAAUGUUAGACAAGCAUCUCAAAUGUCUUCAAUUGAAUAGCUAUUUUAUGCCUUCAACAAUAAGCAACGGCACUUAUCCACAGCAGACUAAGACCUGGAAAAUGUGUUUAAUCAAAUUCUAACUGACAAUCAAUCACAAAAUGCAAAUUUAAGGUAGCGUGCUCAGAUUACUUGUUGCUUGACAAGCAUCUAAAAAAUUAUCAAUCAACCACUGAUUAAACAAAAGAUAUUGUACUCAAGCAAAUAAGGAAAGGAGAAGAACUAAGGACUACCAUGUAAGCCUCAUGAUUG
Molecule: unclassified non-coding RNA, 546 nt
Filed under: Hevea brasiliensis (rubber tree)
Lineage: Eukaryota; Viridiplantae; Streptophyta; Magnoliopsida; Malpighiales; Euphorbiaceae
Source: RNAcentral